GUGCCUAACACAUGCAAGUCGAGCGAGAAAAGGGGGGCACUCCCUGAGUACAGCGGCGCACGGGUGAGUAACACGUGGGUAAUCUGCCCUGGAGUGGGGAAUAACACCGGGAAACCGGUGCUAAUACCGCAUACGAUCACGAGGUCUGCGGAUUUUGUGAUGAAAGGAGCAAUUCGCUCCAGGAGGAGCCCGCGGCUGAUUAGCUAGUUGGUGAGGUAAUGGCUCACCAAGGCUACGAUCAGUAUCCGGUCUGAGAGGACGGUCGGACACACUGGAACUGAGACACGGUCCAG
RNAcentral lists this ribosomal RNA (293 nucleotides) under uncultured bacterium. RNAcentral describes it as "partial 16S ribosomal RNA". It matches the Rfam family "Bacterial small subunit ribosomal RNA", at positions 44 to 334 of the family's 1533-position model. The record is from RNAcentral.